This 68-nucleotide transfer RNA is filed under the name Triodia sylvina. RNAcentral describes it as "tRNA-Ser". Lineage: Eukaryota; Metazoa; Arthropoda; Insecta; Lepidoptera; Hepialidae. The record is from RNAcentral.
AAUUAAUGAGCUUGAUUUUAAGCAUAUGUUUUGAAAACAUAAUAUAGAAUAAAAAUUUCUAUUAAUUU